This 535-nucleotide ribosomal RNA is filed under the name uncultured bacterium. RNAcentral's name for it is "bacterial SSU rRNA". It matches the Rfam family "Bacterial small subunit ribosomal RNA", at positions 35 to 579 of the family's 1533-position model. The record is from RNAcentral.
GCUGGCGGCAUGCCUAACACAUGCAAGUCGAACGGAGUGAGAGAGAAGCUUGCUUAGCUCUUACUUAGUGGCGGACGGGUGAGUAACGCGUGAGUAACCUGCCUUUCAGAGGGGGAUAACGUUCUGAAAAGAACGCUAAUACCGCAUGAUAUAUUGGGGUCGCAUGGCCUUGGUAUCGAAGGAGCAAUCCGCUGAAAGAUGGACUCGCGUCCGAUUAGCCAGUUGGCGGGGUAAAGGCCCACCAAAGCGACGAUCGGUAGCCGGGUUGAGAGACUGAACGGCCACAUUGGGACUGAGACACGGCCCAGACUCCUACGGGAGGCAGCAGUGGGGGAUAUUGCACAAUGGAGGAAACUCUGAUGCAGCAAUGCCGCGUGAGGGAAGACGGUCUUCGGAUUGUAAACCUCUGUCCUUGGUGAAGAUAAUGACGGUAGCCAAGGAGGAAGCUCCGGCUAACUACGUGCCAGCAGCCGCGGUAAUACGUAGGGAGCAAGCGUUGUCCGGAUUUACUGGGUGUAAAGGGUGCGUAGGCGGC